GAUGAAGAACGUAGCGAAAUGCGAUACUUGGUGUGAAUUGCAGAAUCCCGUGAACCAUCGAGUCUUUGAACGCAAGUUGCGCCCGAAGCCAUCAGGUUGAGGGCACGUCUGCCUGGGCGUCACAUAUCGUUGCUCGAUGCCUAUCGCAUUGCGAUAGGACUUAGGGCGAAUGAUGGCUUCCCGUGAGCGUUGUUGCCUCGCGGUUGGUUGAAAAUCGAGUCCUUGGUAGGGUGUGCCAUGAUAGAUGAGGGUCGAGUUAGCACGAGACCGGUCAUGUGCAUGCUCCCCAAAAUAUGGCCUCUGUGACCCACACGCGUCUUUUGACGCUCAUGACGAGACCUCAGGUCAGGCGGGGCUACCCGCUGAAUUUAAGCAUAUCAAUAAGCGGAGGA
This 392-nucleotide unclassified non-coding RNA is filed under the name soil metagenome. RNAcentral describes it as "partial contains 5.8S ribosomal RNA, internal transcribed spacer 2, and large subunit ribosomal RNA". The stretch from base 1 to 122 matches the Rfam family "5.8S ribosomal RNA", at positions 35 to 154 of the family's 154-position model. The record is from RNAcentral.